This 932-nucleotide ribosomal RNA is filed under the name Pediococcus pentosaceus. RNAcentral's name for it is "bacterial SSU rRNA". It matches the Rfam family "Bacterial small subunit ribosomal RNA", at positions 64 to 974 of the family's 1533-position model. Lineage: Bacteria; Bacillati; Bacillota; Bacilli; Lactobacillales; Lactobacillaceae. The record is from RNAcentral.
GGACGUACUUGUACUGAUUGAGAUUUUAACACGAAGUGAGUGGCGAACGGGUGAGUAACACGUGGGUAACCUGCCCAGAAGUAGGGGAUAACACCUGGAAACAGAUGCUAAUACCGUAUAACAGAGAAAACCGCAUGGUUUUCUUUUAAAAGAUGGCUCUGCUAUCACUUCUGGAUGGACCCGCGGCGUAUUAGCUAGUUGGUGAGGUAAAGGCUCACCAAGGCAGUGAUACGUAGCCGACCUGAGAGGGUAAUCGGCCACAUUGGGACUGAGACACGGCCCAGACUCCUACGGGAGGCAGCAGUAGGGAAUCUUCCACAAUGGACGCAAGUCUGAUGGAGCAACGCCGCGUGAGUGAAGAAGGGUUUCGGCUCGUAAAGCUCUGUUGUUAAAGAAGAACGUGGGUAAGAGUAACUGUUUACCCAGUGACGGUAUUUAACCAGAAAGCCACGGCUAACUACGUGCCAGCAGCCGCGGUAAUACGUAGGUGGCAAGCGUUAUCCGGAUUUAUUGGGCGUAAAGCGAGCGCAGGCGGUCUUUUAAGUCUAAUGUGAAAGCCUUCGGCUCAACCGAAGAAGUGCAUUGGAAACUGGGAGACUUGAGUGCAGAAGAGGACAGUGGAACUCCAUGUGUAGCGGUGAAAUGCGUAGAUAUAUGGAAGAACACCAGUGGCGAAGGCGGCUGUCUGGUCUGCAACUGACGCUGAGGCUCGAAAGCAUGGGUAGCGAACAGGAUUAGAUACCCUGGUAGUCCAUGCCGUAAACGAUGAUUACUAAGUGUUGGAGGGUUUCCGCCCUUCAGUGCUGCAGCUAACGCAUUAAGUAAUCCGCCUGGGGAGUACGACCGCAAGGUUGAAACUCAAAAGAAUUGACGGGGGCCCGCACAAGCAGUGAAGCAUGUGAUUUAAUUCGAAGCUACGCUAAGAACCUUAC